This 1550-nucleotide long non-coding RNA is filed under the name Triticum aestivum (bread wheat). RNAcentral's name for it is "long non-coding RNA (TAES_LNC004944)". The record is from RNAcentral. Lineage: Eukaryota; Viridiplantae; Streptophyta; Magnoliopsida; Poales; Poaceae.
AAAACUGAACGAACUACACCUGCAAACAGUGAUUUUCUUCUAAUAGACACAGAUUUAAUGGAUACACUCAUCUGUGAGGUUUCUAGUUACAACCGUACAUUACAUAGCUUAACUGUAUCCAUCAAGUGUGAUUGUCAGGUAACAUAUCUCAAGGCUUAACACUAACCUAAACGAGCAAGCUUAUCAAAAUACCCAAACCACACAAACCAACCCCAGUUACAUCAACUCACGGCUUAACACUAAUCAUGGAUUGCAUGGUGCCAUCCCCUCUGGUUCCCGUUGCACUUCACUGAAUAUGUACUGGCUCUGAAACUCCAAGUACGAACAAUACAACUGCCUGGUAGAAAGAAACAUGAUUCUAUCAUAUAAGGGGUAGCCUGCAGUCCAAAGAACAAUUCAGGAAAAAAAACAGAACUUAAGCGAUCCAGGCAAGGCCAUGCUAAGAUCAAAAGUGAUUUGGUUGGACAACAAUUGUCUUUAUAAUGCUGAAAAACUAAGACAUAUUUGCAGAAUUAAAUCUUGUUUGUCUAUUAGAAGUGUCUCACUUGCUAAAGUACAGAGCAAGAAUUUCUGAUGAUGAUGCUAAAAAUAUCUAUUACAGAUGAACAUCUUCUCACUUAUCUUCCAAGUUUCAGAUGAUGAUGCUGAACAUGUUCUCAAUUAUCUUCCAAGUUUCAGAUGAUGAAUGAUGCUGAACAUGUUCUCACUUAUCUUCAAAGUUUCAGAUGCUGCUGUUGCUGCUGCAGUACAGAGCAACAACACACAUGAGAAAAAGGAAUUGUGCUCAAUACACAUAAUAAUAAGGUUGCGCUAAUUGGCCAAAUAGUCACAUGAGCACAAUGUAUAGCAGUUGUCUGCAAAAUGAAGUUACACAUAAAUACAAAUCAAAUCUUGAAAUCUAUGUGAAGCUAGGCUUAGCAAUUCCCUUUCUAGGCCAUACAAUCAACUUCCUGAAGCUAACAGUAAGGCUCAUUCAGAGUUACAUAGAAUAAUUAUACAGAACUGGAUAAACCAAUCAUAUGCAUGCUUCAACAAAACGCCUGCAAAUGUGAGCUUCUAGUUCUAGGUAAUCAUUUUUCACGUAAAAACUAUUGCGUGUACACAUCACAGGAAAAAGUAGUAAUUGACAUCACAGAAAAAAGGUAGUAAUGAACAAACUCUUGCCGUGUACGCGGGCUCACAGGUAAUCAUUUUUCACAUACAUAUUCAGUCGUUCAUGUACGACUUUAGUAUAAAUUGAGCGAAGUACUUGACUAAUUAUCAGACCAGACAUAGCACAUCUAUAUUCCACUCUAACAAUUGUAAUUAGUGAUAAAAUUUCACCAUUAUGGUUGCAUCUCGUACAUAAAUUCAGUGCCCAUACUGUCCAAUUUCUGAAAUGGGUUCAAACGAAUUGGGGCAACUGAGGAGGAAUCAGAAGAACCAAUAUGGCUGCCCAUGAAUAAUAUAAGAACGAAAUACAGUUCACAUACCUCGGAUCGUUGAGCUGUAAUGGCGGAUGGACGGAUCCUAUGCAGCAGUACGGUCCAUCCACAGAGCUACAACCUCGC